UGCUCCCAAGCGAAAGGUAUAUUUUUUCACUAAAUUCCUUUACAGUUUAUAAACUGCUUAUUUAAUUAAAAAUGCCAUUACAAUACAAUCAAGACAUAAAGCCAUAAAGUGUUUUAUCACUUUUUCAUCUUAUAUAUUAUAUAAUAUUAACAACUUAUUGAAUAUCCAAGGGUCAGUCAAAGCGAAAGCAUUGUAUUAUCAUCCUACUGAAACGACAA
Nymphalis io (European peacock) is the source of this 218-nucleotide long non-coding RNA. RefSeq lists it as uncharacterized. NCBI's taxonomy places the organism in Eukaryota, Metazoa, Arthropoda, Insecta, Lepidoptera, Nymphalidae. The transcript is spliced from 2 exons. The record is from RefSeq and is a predicted model, not a curated record.